RNAcentral lists this ribosomal RNA (497 nucleotides) under uncultured bacterium. RNAcentral describes it as "partial 16S ribosomal RNA". It matches the Rfam family "Bacterial small subunit ribosomal RNA", at positions 28 to 507 of the family's 1533-position model. The record is from RNAcentral.
GACGAACGCUGGCGGCGUGCCUAAUACAUGCAAGUUGAGCGCUGAAGGUUGGUCCUUGUACCAACUGGAUGAGCAGCGAACGGGUGAGUAACGCGUGGGGAAUCUGCCUUUGAGCAGGGGACAACAUUUGGAAACGAAUGCUAAUACCGCAUAAAAACUUUAAACACAAGUUUUAAGUUUGAAAGAUGCAAUUGCAUCACUCAAAGAUGAUCCCGCGUUGUAUUAGCUAGUUGGUGAGGUAAAGGCUCACCAAGGCGAUGAUACAUAGCCGACCUGAGAGGGUGAUCGGCCACAUUGGGACUGAGACACGGCCCAAACUCCUACGGGAGGCAGCAGUAGGGAAUCUUCGGCAAUGGACGAAAGUCUGACCGAGCAACGCCGCGUGAGUGAAGAAGGUUUUCGGAUCGUAAAACUCUGUUGGUAGAGAAGAACGUUGGUGAGAGUGGAAAGCUCACCAAGUGACGGUAACUACCCAGAAAGGGACGGCUAACUACGUG